GACGAACGCUGGCGGCGUGCUUAACACAUGCAAGUCGAGCGGUAAGGCCCUUUCGGGGGUACGACGAGCGGCGAACGGGUGAGUAACACGUGGGUGACCUGCCCUCAGCUCUGGGAUAAGCCUGGGAAACCGGGUCUAAUACCGGAUAUGACUCCAUGACGCAUGUUGUGGGGUGGAAAGCCUUGUGCGGCUGAGGAUGGGCCCGCGGCCUAUCAGCUUGUUGGUGGGGUGANGGCCCUACCAAGGCGACGACGGGUAGCCGGCCUGAGAGGGCGACCGGCCACACUGGGACUGAGACACGGCCCAGACUCCUACGGGAGGCAGCAGUGGGGAAUCUUGCGCAAUGGGCGAAAGCCUGACGCAGCGACGCCGCGUGAGGGAUGACGGCCU
RNAcentral lists this ribosomal RNA (390 nucleotides) under uncultured bacterium. RNAcentral's name for it is "bacterial SSU rRNA". It matches the Rfam family "Bacterial small subunit ribosomal RNA", at positions 28 to 417 of the family's 1533-position model. The record is from RNAcentral.